This 706-nucleotide ribosomal RNA is filed under the name Cytophaga sp. 145PHE-2. Its description in RNAcentral is "bacterial SSU rRNA". It matches the Rfam family "Bacterial small subunit ribosomal RNA", at positions 398 to 1104 of the family's 1533-position model. The record is from RNAcentral. Lineage: Bacteria; Pseudomonadati; Bacteroidota; Cytophagia; Cytophagales; Cytophagaceae.
CGCGUGCAGGAAGAAUGCCCUAUGGGUAGUAAACUGCUUUUAUACGGGAAGAAAAAGAGCUACGUGUAGCUUACUGACGGUACCGUAAGAAUAAGGACCGGCUAACUCCGUGCCAGCAGCCGCGGUAAUACGGAGGGUCCGAGCGUUAUCCGGAAUUAUUGGGUUUAAAGGGUCCGUAGGCGGGCCGAUAAGUCAGGGGUGAAAGUCUGCCGCUCAACGGUAGAACUGCCUUUGAUACUGUCGGUCUUGAGUUAUAGUGAAGUUGCCGGAAUAUGUAGUGUAGCGGUGAAAUGCAUAGAUCUUACAUAGAACACCGAUUGCGAAGGCAGGUGACUAACUAUAUACUGACGCUGAUGGACGAAAGCGUGGGGAGCGAACAGGAUUACAUACCCUGGUAGUCCACGCCGUAAACGAUGGAUACUAUCUGUCCGGAACCUUGAGUUCUGGGCGGCCAAGCGAAAGUGAUAAGUAUCCCACCUGGGGAGUACGUUCGCAAGAAUGAAACUCAAAGGAAUUGACGGGGGCCCGCACAAGCGGUGGAGCAUGUGGUUUAAUUCGAUGAUACGCGAGGAACCUUACCAGGGCUUAAAUGCAUAUUGACAGGGUCAGAGAUGACUUUUCCUUCGGGCAAUUUGCAAGGUGCUGCAUGGUUGUCGUCAGCUCGUGCCGUGAGGUGUCAGGUUAAGUCCUAUAACGAGCGCAACCC